Small nuclear RNA from Cyclopterus lumpus (lumpfish), 174 nucleotides. Its record names the gene U2. It matches the Rfam family "U2 spliceosomal RNA". Rfam says of the family: U2 is a small nuclear RNA (snRNA) component of the spliceosome (involved in pre-mRNA splicing). The record is from Ensembl. Lineage: Eukaryota; Metazoa; Chordata; Actinopteri; Perciformes; Cyclopteridae.
AAAUCUUUUCGAAAGAAAAAAUCUGUUCUUAUCAGUUUAAUAUCUGAUACGUCCCCUACCCGGGGACCAUAUAUUAAAUUGAUUUUUGGAAUAGGGAGAUGGAAUAGGGGCUUGCUCCGUCCACUCCACGCAUCGACCUGGUAUUGCAGUACCUCCAGGAACGGUGCACCCCCU